RNAcentral lists this ribosomal RNA (492 nucleotides) under uncultured bacterium. RNAcentral describes it as "partial 16S ribosomal RNA". It matches the Rfam family "Bacterial small subunit ribosomal RNA", at positions 29 to 507 of the family's 1533-position model. The record is from RNAcentral.
AGUGAACGCUGGCGGUAGGCCUAACACAUGCAAGUCGAACGGCAGCACAGUAAGAGCUUGCUCUUACGGGUGGCGAGUGGCGGACGGGUGAGGAAUACAUCGGAAUCUACUUUUUCGUGGGGGAUAACGUAGGGAAACUUACGCUAAUACCGCAUACGACCUACGGGUGAAAGCAGGGGAUCUUCGGACCUUGCGCGAUUGAAUGAGCCGAUGACGGAUUAGCUAGUUGGCGGGGUAAAGGCCCACCAAGGCGACGAUCCGUAGCUGGUCUGAGAGGAUGAUCAGCCACACUGGAACUGAGACACGGUCCAGACUCCUACGGGAGGCAGCAGUGGGGAAUAUUGGACAAUGGGCGCAAGCCUGAUCCAGCCAUACCGCGUGGGUGAAGAAGGCCUUCGGGUUGUAAAGCCCUUUUGUUGGGAAAGAAAAGCAGCAGGUUAAUACCCCGCUGUUCUGACGGUACCCAGAGAAUAAGCACCGGCUAACUUCGUG